AACGAACGCUGGCGGCAUGCCUAACACAUGCAAGUCGAACGAUUGCCUUCGGGUGAUAGUGGCGCACGGGUGCGUAACGCGUGGGAAUCUGCCCUUAGGUUCGGAAUAACAGCUGGAAACGGCUGCUAAUACCGGAUGAUAUCGCGAGAUCAAAGAUUUAUCGCCUGAGGAUGAGCCCGCGUUGGAUUAGGUAGUUGGUGGGGUAAAGGCCUACCAAGCCGACGAUCCAUAGCUGGUCUGAGAGGAUGAUCAGCCACACUGGGACUGAGACACGGCCCAGAUUCCUCCGGGAGGCAGCAGUGGGAAAUAUUGGACAAUGGGCGAAAGCCUGAUCCAGAAAUGCCGCGUGAGUGAUGAAGGCCCUAGGGUUGUAAAGCUCUUUACCCGGGAAGAUAAUGACUGUACCGGGAGAAUAAGCCCCGGCUAACUCCGUG
RNAcentral lists this ribosomal RNA (434 nucleotides) under uncultured bacterium. RNAcentral's name for it is "partial 16S ribosomal RNA". It matches the Rfam family "Bacterial small subunit ribosomal RNA", at positions 29 to 507 of the family's 1533-position model. The record is from RNAcentral.